AAGACGUUUAAAUAUAAUUACUAGACGGAAAGCAGCACGCGCGGAAACCAUGCAGACGAAUGGGAUUAGGCUCCGCCUCUUUUGGAUCAUUUGAAGACAAAAUAAGCUACCGAGGCGGCUUUUUGAUUGGAUAUGAGCCUCAUGAAUAUGUAUUUUAUCGAUAGUAUCGUUUAAGAAACCGGAUAAUAUAUUUGACCUCAUUGCGUCACUUUAAUUAUGCAGAUUUAUGCACGACGCUACUACACUCGCACAAACUGAGAAGAGUUAGUUCAUUGAGAAUGGAUUGAAACUAAUGAAGAGCUGGAAGGAGUUAACUGAUGAGUAGACAUUACAACAUUUCUUAUAUUUGCAAGAUGAAGCUGAAAGUCCCAUUGCAGGAUGAUGCUUCUCUACAGUGGAUGAUGAAGGCAUGCUGAUUACAAACCCAGGAGAGGAACAAAGAACAGAUAUUGACAGAAGCAUAUCUAGAGAUGCGGGCCUACUACACUUCAUACGAGCAAGUGUGCUAAUAUACAAUACUUGGGUUAUCAUCACAGCCCUUUCUUCUGAAAACUAGCCUACAACUUCAUCAAUGAAUGCAGAAGACAUCUUCAUGGGACUACGUCUUAAAGAUGCAACCCUCAUAUAAUGAAAGAGGACAUUAGAGAUGGGUUUAAACUUGAAUAUUUACAUACUAUUUAUUUAUUAUUUGUA
Molecule: long non-coding RNA, 693 nt
Filed under: Strongylocentrotus purpuratus (purple sea urchin)
Lineage: Eukaryota; Metazoa; Echinodermata; Echinoidea; Camarodonta; Strongylocentrotidae
Description: uncharacterized LOC115923538
Source: RNAcentral